RNAcentral lists this ribosomal RNA (849 nucleotides) under uncultured Sphingomonadaceae bacterium. RNAcentral describes it as "bacterial SSU rRNA". It matches the Rfam family "Bacterial small subunit ribosomal RNA", at positions 56 to 951 of the family's 1533-position model. Lineage: Bacteria; Pseudomonadati; Pseudomonadota; Alphaproteobacteria; Sphingomonadales; Sphingomonadaceae. The record is from RNAcentral.
UGCAAGUCGAACGAGACCUUCGGGUCUAGUGGCGCACGGGUGCGUAACGCGUGGGAAUCUGCCCUUAGGUACGGAAUAACUCAGAGAAAUUUGUGCUAAUACCGUAUGAUGUCGAAAGACCAAAGAUUUAUCGCCUAAGGAUGAGCCCGCGUAAGAUUAGCUUGUUGGUGAGGUAAAAGCUCACCAAGGCGACGAUCUUUAGCUGGUCUGAGAGGAUGAUCAGCCACACUGGGACUGAGACACGGCCCAGACUCCUACGGGAGGCAGCAGUGGGGAAUAUUGGACAAUGGGCGAAAGCCUGAUCCAGCAAUGCCGCGUGAGUGAUGAAGGCCUUAGGGUUGUAAAGCUCUUUUACCAGGGAUGAUAAUGACAGUACCUGGAGAAUAAGCUCCGGCUAACUCCGUGCCAGCAGCCGCGGUAAUACGGAGGGAGCUAGCGUUGUUCGGAAUUACUGGGCGUAAAGGGUACGUAGGCGGUGAUUCAAGUCAGAGGUGAAAGCCUGGAGCUCAACUCCAGAACUGCCUUUGAAACUAGAUCGCUAGAAUUAUGGAGAGGUUAGUGGAAUUCCGAGUGUAGAGGUGAAAUUCGUAGAUAUUCGGAAGAACACCAGUGGCGAAGGCGACUAACUGGACAUAUAUUGACGCUGAGGUACGAAAGCGUGGGGAGCAAACAGGAUUAGAUACCCUGGUAGUCCACGCCGUAAACGAUGAUAACUAGCUGUUCGGGGUCUACGAUCUUGAGUGGCGCAGCUAACGCAUUAAGUUAUCCGCCUGGGGAGUACGGUCGCAAGAUUAAAACUCAAAGGAAUUGGCGGGGGCCUGCACAAGCGGUGGAGCAUGUGGUUUAAUU